Molecule: ribosomal RNA, 271 nt
Filed under: uncultured bacterium
Lineage: Bacteria
Description: partial 16S ribosomal RNA
Rfam family: Bacterial small subunit ribosomal RNA
Source: RNAcentral
UACGAAGGGAGCUAGCGUUGUUCGGAAUCACUGGGCGUAAAGCGCACGUAGGCGGAUUUGUCAGUCAGGGGUGAAAUCCCGGGGCUCAACCUCGGAACUGCCUUUGAUACAGCAAGUCUUGAGUUCGAGAGAGGUGGGUGGGAUUCCUAGUGUAGAGGUGAAAUUCGUAGAUAUUAGGAAGAACACCGGUGGCGAAGGCGGCCCACUGGCUCGAUACUGACGCUGAGGUGCGAAAGCGUGGGGAGCAAACAGGAUUAGAAACCCCUGUAGU